CCAAAUAUUAUUUGAUCCAAUAGAACAUUCAGUCUUUUUCAAUCACAGAUUUCAAUUUUACACAUUUCAACAGCAAACAAUCAAUAAUUCUCAAAAUUAAUGAUCAAAUCCAGAAAUCACUCAAUGAAACUCACAACAGCACAUACACAUCUGCACGAUCCAUCAAGUGUACAUAUAAUCGGAAACAAAUACACAGGCACCAAAACAUGGUGGCAACAUCAACUAAAACUACUGUGCACAUCCCCAAGUGUUGCUGGUCCAGCACCAGCCCCAGCCCAAGGUGCACCAGCCCCAGCCCCAGCAGUCGCAUAUUUUUGCUUGUCUAGUCAUGGUCCUUCUCCUGCGCAUCCAAUUCAGAAGCACACUCAUAGUAAGUUUGACAUAGAAGUAGCAAUUUGAAUGAGAAGCAGCAACAACAAUUUGAUUUGAAGGAGGAGCAGCAACAACGGCAAGUACUUUCUUCUCAUUAGGAUAGCAACAAGAGCAGUUUGGCAUAGUAGGAGCAACAGCAGUUUGAUGAUAGCAGCAGUACCUGAUAUCAGCAAAAGUAGUUUGAAAUAUCCUUGGGCGGCCGAAGAUGGUGAAAUGAUGAUCUGAUUGUUCUUAGACAGUGGUAUCAAAAGAUAGGCUUUUAGAGUAAAAAAAUUGGCUCCAAUCAGCCUACAUACAACAAGUAAUAAAAUUAUUAGGAGAGAGUAUACAGUUACCAACAGCAUGC
Molecule: long non-coding RNA, 718 nt
Filed under: Triticum aestivum (bread wheat)
Lineage: Eukaryota; Viridiplantae; Streptophyta; Magnoliopsida; Poales; Poaceae
Description: long non-coding RNA (TAES_LNC005261)
Source: RNAcentral